ACUCAAGUAGCUUAGAAUAGAGCGAUACAUUGAAGAUGUAGAGGGGGCAGAAUUGCCUUUGGGUG
Molecule: transfer RNA, 65 nt
Filed under: Caridina longshan
Lineage: Eukaryota; Metazoa; Arthropoda; Malacostraca; Decapoda; Atyidae
Description: tRNA-Phe
Source: RNAcentral